RNAcentral lists this transfer RNA (66 nucleotides) under Hestiasula hoffmanni. Its description in RNAcentral is "tRNA-Phe". The record is from RNAcentral. Lineage: Eukaryota; Metazoa; Arthropoda; Insecta; Mantodea; Hymenopodidae. RNAcentral also lists the same sequence under 1 other name.
AUUCAAAUAUCUUAUAAAGAGUAUAACAUUGAAGAUGUUAAGGAGAUAGAAAAUUAUCUUUGAAUA